AAGACUAUACUUUUCAGGGAUCAUUUCUAUAGUUUCUAACUGGAGAAAUGUGUUUCUAAAGUGUUUGGUCUCGCCAACCACGAUGAUGAGUCGUGAUAUUUCCUUCGGAGCAUGAAGCUGACAAGAGUAAUGAUUCGUUUCAUAGUGUUUCCUGUCAUUGAAUUGAUUGGUUUCUUACUUCCUUGUGAGUAUUGAGGAAAGGGAAUAUGAUCAGAGUGGU
Molecule: small nucleolar RNA, 220 nt
Filed under: Larimichthys crocea (large yellow croaker)
Lineage: Eukaryota; Metazoa; Chordata; Actinopteri; Sciaenidae
Description: Small nucleolar RNA U3 (ENSLCRG00005002105.1)
Rfam family: Small nucleolar RNA U3
About the family: Small nucleolar RNAs (snoRNAs) are involved in the processing and modification of rRNA in the nucleolus.
Source: RNAcentral